This 253-nucleotide ribosomal RNA is filed under the name uncultured bacterium. Its description in RNAcentral is "partial 16S ribosomal RNA". It matches the Rfam family "Bacterial small subunit ribosomal RNA", at positions 524 to 776 of the family's 1533-position model. The record is from RNAcentral.
UACGUAGGGUGCGAGCGUUAAUCGGAAUUACUGGGCGUAAAGCGUGCGCAGGCGGUUCGUUAAGUCAGAUGUGAAAGCCCCGGGCUCAACCUGGGAACGGCGCUUGAGACUGGCACGCUCGAGUUCGGGAGAGGAUGGUGGAAUUCCCAGUGUAGAGGUGAAAUUCGUAGAUAUUGGGAAGAACACCGAUGGCGAAGGCAGCCAUCUGGACCGACACUGACGCUGAGGCGCGAAAGCGUGGGGAGCAAACAGG